Molecule: long non-coding RNA, 1868 nt
Filed under: Helianthus annuus (common sunflower)
Lineage: Eukaryota; Viridiplantae; Streptophyta; Magnoliopsida; Asterales; Asteraceae
Description: hypothetical non coding rna
Source: RNAcentral
GGGUUUCAUAUUUAUGUUUUUGGCACGUCAAGCAAUUCUGCACAAAUAUCCGGACAUCCUUCUUCAUGUGAGGCCAAUAAUGAUAAGCUGCAAGCCUGCAAUUUUCUUUAAGGUUUGAGAAAACCACCAUGUCCUGCUAAUGGUGUGGAAUGUGCUUCAUGGAGUAUUACUUCACGAAUAGUUGGGUUAUAGGGGAUGACCAUCCGUCCUUUGUAAAGGAGAGUUUGACCGACCAACAAGUAAUCUUACUCUUUUGUGGAUCAAACUCCUCAUCGAUCUCUGUAACAUCCAGGCAAAUAAGGCAUGGCAAAAGUGAGUAACUCAGCAGAAUGAGGUCUUCUUGAUAAUGCGUCGGCACCUCGAUUCUCUUUACUGGGCACGGUGGAUAAUAGAAAAGUCAUAGGGCAUCAGUUUUAACAGCAGGGCUGUGGUUCAGUGGUUGUGACUCUCUGUUCCAGCAAGAAUUUAAGAGUUUUGUGGUCAGUCUUUAUAAAAAAAAUGUUGACCCGGUAGAUGGUGAUUCCACGUUUGAUUUGCUAAAACGAGUGCCAUAUGCGGAUUUAAACCGGUUGGAAGGUGAGAACCUCUUGCUAAAGUAAGCAACUGGAUGAUCCUCCUGAAUCAGAAAAACGCCUAGACCUCCUGAUCGACAUGUACCCCUUCUACAGUGAUCAUGCCCCAAAAGUAGAACUUUAGCUUGACCGAAGCAGCAUUUUGGAUAAUUUGGCAAAGAUGUUUGGAUAGUAACUCCAAAGCUGUUUGCAAGUGAGUAACAUGUUGCUCCAUAUCUGAGCUAUUAAUCAAAAUGUCAUCCAAAAACACCGGCACAAAGACGCAAAUACGGUCGAAAAAGAUCAUUCAUAGCUGUCUGAAAAGUGGAGGAGGCAUAUUAGUAAGACCAAAUAAAGGGCAAUACCGUAAACUCGUAGUGUCCAGAUCCAGAAUGAGUCCUGAAAGCAGUCUUCUCAAUAUCGAAAGGGUUUACACGGAUUUGAUAGUACCCCACACGUAGAUCUAACUUAGUAAAUACCGUGGCUCCAUAUAAAUCAUCCAGCAACCAUAAGCUUAUUUAGAGCACGAUAAGCAAUGCAACGUGUUAUCUUUUUUCUUAACUAUAAGUACUGGGCUAGAAAAGGGGCUGGUGAUUGGCUGAAUGAACCCAGCCCAUAGCAAUAUUUCCACUUGCCUCUUGAUUUCAGUUUUUUGGGAAAACGGGCAUCUAUGUGGUCUGAUGUUGGGUGGUAAAGAAUUGGCUAAAGAGGAAUAACAUGAAAAUGAGAAAAAAAUGAAGAAGUUUGGUUGGUUGUUCUUGAAAUACUUGGUCAAACUUUUGGAUAAGAGGCUGCAAGGCAAUUGCUAUUUCUUGUUUCUGUUAUGUCUCAAUGCUAAGGUGCUGAAAAGCAGCUGAUUUUUGAGGGCCAGAAGCCACCCCUAGUAAAUUUGUAUUUUUUACCAUCCACAGUGAAGAUACUAAACAAGUCCUUCCAAUUAGCUUGGACGGUGUUUAAUGUAGCUAACCAUUGGAUACCCAGGACCAAAUCAGGGGGACAAUCUCAAGAUCGAAUAUUUAUAACGAGAGUUUUCCUUUGCGUGCACAUUUACAGUUUUGCUGCCUUUCAACUUUCAACCCUCAAGAUGGAUGUUUAUAUCGGAUGGUCCUGAUGAUCAUUUUGCUGGUCAACCAAACCGCCUUCCCAUUUAUGGACCUCGUUUAUGUCGGCUGCAACCACAAACCAUCCUAAAAAUUGGAUGAAUGAAAGAUAUUCUGUAACAAUGUAUAUAUUAAAUACUUAUAUAUGUAAUAAAUUGCUUCUGAUAAUACAACGUUAAACAUGAACCGGGUUAAAAAUGUAUGCGUUGAUUAUUAU